UACCUUUUGUAUAAUGGGUCAGCGACUUAUAUUCUGUAGCAAGGUUAACCGUAUAGGGGAGCCGGAGGGAAACCGAGUCUUAAUUGGGCGUUAAGUUGCAGGGUAUAGACCCGAAACCCGGUGAUCUAGCCAUGGGCAGGUUGAAGGUUGGGUAACACUAACUGGAGGACCGAACCGACUAAUGUUGAAAAAUUAGCGGAUGACCUGUGGCUGGGGGUGAAAGGCCAAUCAAACCGGGAGAUAGCUGGUUCUCCCCGAAAGCUAUUUAGGUAGCGCCUCGUGAAUUCAUCUCCGGGGGUAGAGCACUGUUUCGGCUAGGGGGCCAUCCCGGCUUACCAACCCGAUGCAAACUGCGAAUACCGGAGAAUGUUAUCACGGGAGACACACGGCGGGUGCUAACGUCCGUCGUGAAGAGGGAAACAACCCAGACCGCCAGCUAAGGUCCCAAAGUCAUGGUUAAGUGGGAAACGAUGUGGGAAGGCCCAGACAGCCAGGAUGUUGGCUUAGAAGCAGCCAUCAUUUAAAGAAAGCGUAAUAGCUCACUGGUCGAGUCGGCCUGCGCGGAAGAUGUAACGGGGCUAAACCAUGCACCGAAGCUGCGGCAGCGAACGUAUCACCCAAGACAACUUUACGGAGUUGACGAUUGACGGAGCGAAGCGACGUCAAAGCGUUCAUUAAAGUCGAGUUGGCUUAGGGAUACGUUCGUUGGGUAGGGGAGCGUUCUGUAAGCCUGUGAAGGUGUGUCGUGAGGCAUGCUGGAGGUAUCAGAAGUGCGAAUGCUGACAUAAGUAACGAUAAAGCGGGUGAAAAGCCCGCUCGCCGGAAGACCAAGGGUUCCUGUCCAACGUUAAUCGGGGCAGGGUGAGUCGACCCCUAAGGCGAGGCCGAAAGGCGUAGUCGAUGGGAAACGGGUUAAUAUUCCCGUACUUGGUGUUACUGCGAAGGGGGGACGGAGAAGGCUAUGUUGGCCGGGCGACGGUUGUCCCGGUUUAAGCGUGUAGGUGUGUGUUCCAGGUAAAUCCGGUUCACUUUAACACUGAGGCGUGACGACGAGGCACUACGGUGCUGAAGCAACAAAUGCCCUGCUUCCAGGAAAAGCCUCUAAGCAUCAGGUAACACGAAAUCGUAC
This 1129-nucleotide ribosomal RNA is filed under the name Salmonella enterica subsp. enterica serovar Typhimurium. RNAcentral describes it as "partial 23S ribosomal RNA". It matches the Rfam family "Bacterial large subunit ribosomal RNA", at positions 602 to 1647 of the family's 2925-position model. Lineage: Bacteria; Pseudomonadati; Pseudomonadota; Gammaproteobacteria; Enterobacterales; Enterobacteriaceae. The record is from RNAcentral.